UACAGAGGCCCCAAACGUUGCGCGGAAUCACUGGGCUUAAAGGGUGCGUAGGCGGGCCCGCAAGUGCUUUGUGAAAUCCCACGGCUCAACCGUGGAAUCGCUUGGCAUACUGCGGGCCUUGAGGUUGGCAGAGGCUGCUGGAACUCUAGGUGUAGCGGUGAAAUGCGUAGAUAUCUAGAGGAACGCCCAAGGCGAAGGCAGGCAGCUGGGCCGAUUCUGACGCUGAGGCACGAAAGCGUGGGGAGCAAACAGG
Molecule: unclassified non-coding RNA, 253 nt
Filed under: uncultured Phycisphaeraceae bacterium
Lineage: Bacteria; Pseudomonadati; Planctomycetota; Phycisphaerae; Phycisphaerales; Phycisphaeraceae
Description: contains 16S-23S intergenic spacer region
Rfam family: Bacterial small subunit ribosomal RNA
Source: RNAcentral